Molecule: ribosomal RNA, 1126 nt
Filed under: Hemiselmis rufescens
Lineage: Eukaryota; Cryptophyceae; Cryptomonadales; Hemiselmidaceae
Description: partial Bacterial large subunit ribosomal RNA
Rfam family: Bacterial large subunit ribosomal RNA
Source: RNAcentral
AGGGGUGAAAGGCCAAUCAAACUCCGUGAUAGCUGGUUCUCCCCGAAAUGCAUUUAGGUGCAGCGUUGGAGUUAAUUUGUAUAGGAGGUAGAGCUACCGAUAGGGCUAGGGGGAGUCAAAUCCUACCAACCCCUGACGAACUCCGAAUGCCUAUACAAAGAACCAGCAGUGAGGCUAUGGGUGCUAAGGUCCAUGGCCAAGAGGGAAAAAACCCAGACCACCAGCUAAGGUCCCCAAGUAUAUAUUAAGUUGAAAGAACGAGGUGGAGUUGCUAUGACAGCUAGGAUGUUGGCUUGGAAGCAGCCAUUCAUUUAAAGAGUGCGUAACAGCUCACUAGUCGAGUGACUCUGCGCGGAAAAUACUCGGGCAUCAAAUAUAUCACCGAAGCUGUGGAUCAGAAAUGAUGGUAGGGGAGCAUUCUAAUGGCGGAGAAGCUGUGCUGUGAGGCAUGGUGGAGCGAUUAGAAAAGAAAAUGUAGGCAUGAGUAACGAUAAAACAGGUGAAAGUCCUGUUCACCGAAAGACCAAGGAUUCCAAUUCUAUGCAAGACAGAGUUGGGUUAGUCGGGACCUAAGGCAAAGCCGAGAGGCGGCGUCGAUGGCAAGCUGGUUAAUAUUCCAGCACUGGCUAUAACUGCGAAGCAGGGACGGAGGAGACGGUUGACUGCGAGCUGAUGGAAUAGCUCGUUGAAGAGAGGACGUAGGCCGUGUAGUGAAGUACGCACGGUACAGGAAUCUCGAUAGUACUAGAAACUCUUUGGAGUAGAUAGAUAAUGUCAUUAGUCACACUUCCAAGAAAAGCUGCUAAGCAUCAGGUUAUAGGCACCCGUACCGUAAACCGACACAGGUGGUUGAGGAGAGUAUCCUAAGGUGCACGAGAGAAUCAUGGCUAAGGAACUAGGCAAAAUGGGCGCGUAACUUCGGGAGAAGCGUCGCCCCGAUGUAAGAAUCGGGGCCGCAGUGAAGAGGCCCAGGCGACUGUUUAGCAAAAACACAGGACUCUGCGAAGCUGAAAGGCAAAGUAUAGGGUCUGACACCUGCCCGGUGCCGGAAGGUUAAGGAAGGGGGUUAGCACUUCGGUGCGAAGCUCUUAACUGAAGCCCCGGUAAACGGCGGCCGUAACAAUAA